GUCGAGAAUCUUCCGCAAUGGGCGCAAGCCUGACGGAGCAAUGCCGCGUGAGGGAUGAAGAUCUUCGGAUUGUAAACCUCUGUCACCCGGGACGAAGCAAGUGACGGUACCGGGAGAGGAAGCACCGGCUAACUACGUGCCAGCAGCCGCGGUAAUACGUAGGGUGCGAGCGUUAUUCGGAUUCACUGGGCGUAAAGGGUCCGUAGGGGGCUUGCCAAGUCUGGUGUGAAAGCCCAUGGCUCAACCAUGGAAGGGCACUGGAUACUGGCGAGCUAGAGUGCACGAUGGGUGAGCAGAACUCCUGGUGUAGCGGUGGAAUGCGUAGAUAUCAGGAAGAAUACCGAUGGCGAAGGCGGCUCACUGGCGUGCUACUGACCCUGAGGGACGAAAGCGUGGGUAGCAAACAGGAUUAGAAACCCCGGUAGUCC
RNAcentral lists this ribosomal RNA (428 nucleotides) under uncultured bacterium. RNAcentral describes it as "bacterial SSU rRNA". It matches the Rfam family "Bacterial small subunit ribosomal RNA", at positions 354 to 796 of the family's 1533-position model. The record is from RNAcentral.